RNAcentral lists this ribosomal RNA (521 nucleotides) under uncultured Lactobacillus sp. RNAcentral's name for it is "bacterial SSU rRNA". It matches the Rfam family "Bacterial small subunit ribosomal RNA", at positions 59 to 525 of the family's 1533-position model. Lineage: Bacteria; Bacillati; Bacillota; Bacilli; Lactobacillales; Lactobacillaceae. The record is from RNAcentral.
AAGUCGAGCGAGUCUGCCUUGAAGAUCGGAGUGCUUGCACUCUGUAGAAACAAGAUACAGGCUAGCGGCGGACGGGUGAGUAACACGUGGGUAACCUGCCCAAGAGAUCGGGGGAUAACACCUGGAAACAGAUGCUAAUACCGGAUAACAACAGAUGAUGCCUAUCAACUGUUUAAAAAGAUGGUUCUGCUAUCACUCUUGGGAUGGACCUGCGGGUGCAUUAGCUAGUUGGGUAGGGGUAACGGCCUACCAAGGCGAUGAUGCAUAGCCGAGUUUGAGAGACUGAUCGGCCACAUUGGGACUGAGACACGGCCCAAACUCCUACGGGAGGCAGCAGUAGGGGAAUCUUCCACAAUGGACGCAAGUCUAAUGGAGCAAACGCCGCGUGAGUGAAGAAGGGUUUCGGCUCGUAAAGCUCUGUUGUUGGUGAAGAAGGACAGGGGGGUAGUAACUGACCUUUGUUUGACGGUAAUCAAUUAGAAAAGUCACGGGCUAACUACGUGCCAGCAGCCGCGGGUAAA